AUGGUCCCCGUCCUCGACUACCUCGGCAAGAUCGGCGUCCGCCGCGGCCGGAGCACCUGGCGGCGCACGCGCGGCUGGUCAAGUCGGCCGACGCGGACCCGUUCGUCGUCAGCACCGUCAUGCACGCCUACCUCCGCGCCUCGCUCCCGCUGUAGGCCCUGCUCGUCCUCCGCGGGCUCCUCCCGCGCGCGCCCCGCCUCCUCGCCAACUCCUUCUCCCUCUCCCUCGCCCUCCGCCGCGCUCGCCUCGUCCUCCGCCGCGACCCGGCCGCUCGGCGCCUCGCUCCACGCGCGCGCGGUCAGGUCCGGCUUCGCCGCCGCCGACCUCUUCGUGCGCACCGCGCUCGUCGAGAUGUACGCCAAGUCGGGCCGCGCGGAGCUCGCGCGCGUCGCGUUCGACGAGGCGCCCCGCCGGGACGUGUUCCUCUGCAACGUCAUGCUCGUGUCCUACGUCGCGCGCGGCGAGGUGCCGGAGGCGAGGAGGGUGUUCGACGGAAUGCGGGACAGGGACCUGGUGUCCUGGAACACGAUGAUCCACGGGUACGCCGUGAGAGGGGACGUCGGCAUGGCGAGGGAGAUAUUCGACGCGACAAGCGACAGGGACGCCUUCUCGUGGAGCUCGAUGAUCUCCGCGUAUGCCAAGGGCCGUCGGUCCAAGGAUGCGAGCGGCGCGCGUCGCUCCAGACUGCAUCACCAUGGUCAGCGUGCUCUCGGCGUGCAGCGACAUGGGGGCGCUGACCAUUGGCGCAGAGGUACACUAGUUUGUCGAGAGCCACAGGGUUGA
This 783-nucleotide ribosomal RNA is filed under the name Triticum aestivum (bread wheat). Its description in RNAcentral is "partial small subunit ribosomal RNA". The record is from RNAcentral. Lineage: Eukaryota; Viridiplantae; Streptophyta; Magnoliopsida; Poales; Poaceae.